This 301-nucleotide ribosomal RNA is filed under the name uncultured bacterium. RNAcentral's name for it is "partial 16S ribosomal RNA". It matches the Rfam family "Bacterial small subunit ribosomal RNA", at positions 509 to 807 of the family's 1533-position model. The record is from RNAcentral.
CAGCAGCCACGGUAAUACAGAGGGUGCGAGCGUUAAUCGGAUUUACUGGGCGUAAAGCGUGCGUAGGCGGCUUCUUAAGUCGGAUGUGAAAUCCCUGAGCUUAACUUAGGAAUUGCAUUCGAUACUGGGAAGCUAGAGUAUGGGAGAGGAUGGUAGAAUUCCAGGUGUAGCGGUGAAAUGCGUAGAGAUCUGGAGGAAUACCGAUGGCGAAGGCAGCCAUCUGGCCUAAUACUGACGCUGAGGUACGAAAGCAUGGGGAGCAAACAGGAUUAGAUACCCCGGUAGUCCAUGUCUCUUAUAC